UGGGAUAUAUCUCAGUUGGUAGAGUACUUGCCUCACAUACAGAAGGCCCUGGGUUCACACCCUAGCACCUCAA
This 73-nucleotide transfer RNA is filed under the name Ictidomys tridecemlineatus (thirteen-lined ground squirrel). RNAcentral describes it as "Spermophilus tridecemlineatus (thirteen-lined ground squirrel) tRNA". It matches the Rfam family "tRNA". From Rfam's summary of the family: Transfer RNA (tRNA) molecules are approximately 80 nucleotides in length. Their secondary structure includes four short double-helical elements and three loops (D, anti-codon, and T loops). Lineage: Eukaryota; Metazoa; Chordata; Mammalia; Rodentia; Sciuridae. The record is from Rfam by way of RNAcentral.